UACGUAGGGAGCAAGCGUUGUCCGGAAUCAUUGGGCGUAAAGCGCGCGUAGGCGGCCCCGUAAGUCCGCUGUGAAAGUCAAAGGCUCAACCUUUGAAAGCCGGUGGAUACUGUGGGACUAGAGUACGGAAGAGGCGAGUGGAAUUCCUGGUGUAGCGGUGGAAUGCGCAGAUAUCAGGAGGAACACCAAUAGCGAAGGCAGCUCGCUGGGACGUUACUGACGCUGAGGCGCGAAAGCGUGGGGAGCGAACAGG
This 253-nucleotide ribosomal RNA is filed under the name uncultured bacterium. Its description in RNAcentral is "partial 16S ribosomal RNA". It matches the Rfam family "Bacterial small subunit ribosomal RNA", at positions 524 to 776 of the family's 1533-position model. The record is from RNAcentral.